CUGGCUUUUCCCGCCAGAAGGUGGUCAAGCGCGCGCGCCGUUUCUCGUGCGCUGCUGAAGUGGCGGCGGGCGGGGGCGCCGGGGAGGGCCGUGCGAUGGCGAGCGGCCUUGAGGCUCCCUGAGCCGAGGCGAGCGGACUUUUUUCCCUUAAGCUGCGUGUGUGACGAGAACAAUAAAGCAGGUAGUUCUGUUGUUGACGUGAAACGGUCGUUGUGCCAAUAAACUGUCGUUCUGUGGCUGAAUUCGUUACCUCAGGCACCAUGGAGGGCUGCGUUGCGUCCUGCUGUGGUGAGGGGCUUUCAGAUCCACAGACACAGAAAAGAGCCGCUGCUUCUCCCUGCUCGCCACAGGCUCCGUGUGUCAGCGUGUUAACAGGCUGCGUUUGUAUGCGAGUUGUAAAAGAACAAGAACGUGAGCCAGGAGAGCGUUAGAGACCAGAGUUAUGUGAAAGUGCGUGACACAAAACAUCUGUGGCAAAGCAGGAGAAAUUCCUCUUGCAGACAUGUCAAAAAGCAGUGAAACCAGUGAAGGCUGUAGAGUGUUGAAGGGUGGGAACACCUGCUGCACGGAUUUCCCUUCAGAGCUUUUAGCAUCGCAAAUGAGCAGUUUGAACAAGAUCCAAAUAGCGACAGCAUCAAGAUUCUCCUGAAGUCCUCUGCAGAAGAUGGCUGCAUGGAAGGGGAUCAUUGCCACGACCCAGCCAUAACCUGGCAAUAAGAUAAAGCUCACAACCUGGCCACAGGCAUCAAGUUUGGGCAACUUCGCCUGCAGAACUGUGCUGAGGGUUUUCCCACAUCCUUGGUGUCCCGAGGCAGAGCAGUGUUGGACUGACAGGAUUGGCACAGUUGCUGGAAAUGUGAAGUCCUGAUGACUCUGAAGAAUUUAAUAAUUUUUUGAUGCCUUCAAAUUAAAAUGGCAUUGCUUUAUAUUCCAUGUACGAAUUAAUGUGCUUUUAGUACUUGGCAUUUUCUACAUGUGAUAUAUCUGCAGUCUGGAGCUCAGUGCCCCUUCCUAUACUAACAAUCCUAUACUGAGCCUGAACUUUGAUGAGGAGUUCAAACAGGAAGAGCUCAUCUUCAAGUGUGCAGAGAAUAGACAGUGAAUGCCGCUCAGACCUUCACUUUAAAGCAGCCAGAUGAUGGAGGCACUUGUCAGAAGGAUGAGGAGGACAAAGACGGGGAUCGUGGCAGAAAAGGGGAACUUCCAUUCCCCUGGUGAAACAGAAAAACACAAAAGCAAAUUUCCUGAAGUUUCUCUAGGCCGGGCUCCAGUCACUCCCUGCAUAGAUAUUUGCAGCUAUUUCAUUUCAGCUGAGCACCAUUCCUCUGUUUCAUCUAAGCAGUACUGCUUCUACUGACCUUGUCUUCAGAUCCGGCUUCCCAAAGGUUGAAGUCAUACAUCCAAGGUAAACUCUCCACACAGAUGGCCAUAGGAAAAGUGGCAUUCACAUGGAUUACGUUCUCCUUUACAUUCACGUUUAGCAGUGGGGGAGCCAGUUCCACUAUAAUUGAGUGACCAGACAUAAGAACAGUGCUUGCUGACAUCGUAGUUUCACAGAAGUAAUGUUUUAUUUGUCUGAUCUAAACUUCUAGCUGAUAUCUUGUGGGGGACAUGAAGGAAGGAGGAGGGCAAAGCAACAUCUCUUUUUUUAAUGUAACAUACCCCCAGUGAUACUGUCUUUCUGUUGUGAUGAGCUUGAAACCAGUUCAUUCACCUAGAGCACUGAUGAAACAAAUUCUGAUACCGGCUACAAAACUUAAUUUCAAAUCAUCAUGGCUCAUUGUUGCUUGUGCCCACUCAAUUCUGGCAUUCAUAAAGCUUCAUGUUUCUCUUUCUGCCAUGUGUGGUUUAACUAAUUUGCUCAUGCAAACACUGUUGCUGGGAUGUCCUUCCAGCCAGGCUGUACCUAAGAGACACUCACCAUCUAAGUGGUAUUCCUUGAACUGUGAUUUUACCCAUGGUGAAUGGAAUCGUCCAGAAGUCGCUUUCACUUGAGCCCGGAAUUUAAUGAAGAAGUUUGGAAUCACACACGUCAGGUUGCAAGAGACACUGUGAAUAUUUCUGCAAUGGGGAACCUUUAUCCAUUUGUCCAUACGUGUUUUGCUAAAACAAGAAACAAAUAUGCCAUAUCAAACAUCUGUUGUUAUAAUUUAUACAGCAAGUGAAGGAAGUGCUUUUCUGGAUUGAUGCUGAAUCUUGCUGAAAGUUUAGAGCACUUUCCAGACAGAAAAGGAUUGACUUUGGUGAAAGAAUGCAGUCAAACCACGAUCAUAAUGACUGAUUAAGCACACCCACAGAUGUUUGCCCUGUGCAGUACGUCCUAUUAGACUCCCUUUGUAAGCACUCACCUUUCAUACCUCACAGUGUACAACACAUCUGGUGGAGAUCCUUCUCCUGGAGUCCAUGUCAAAAUCAUAUCAAAAUCCUUUGACAGUAAUGUAACAUUCUGAGGAGGAGGAAGUUGACCAUGAACUGAUCAGAAAGGAAAAUUAAGUGAAUUAUUAAACAUUGCUUUGGAAAUAGGAAAUAUCACCUAUUGUUGACAAAGGUGGUUUCAAAAUUUGGGGCACAGCAGCUCAAUUCACUUACGACUACAAACUGUAAGCUAUCUGGGGAAACAGGCAUGUUUGUGAUGUUGUUGAGUUUUCCUCACCUCACCACAGAACAUCUCAACAGCUGUAAGAAUUAGGACAGAAAUGUGUGUGAGCCAUCCAAUUCUGUAAUUGGAGCAGCAUCCCCCAUAGCCUCACUGGAUUCUCCUGUGAUCUGUUUCACAACCCCACAAACUCCAGCCUGACCCCCUUGCUCUCUCACCUCCUGGACCUCAGAUCAGGCACACACUACUGGGUCACUCCAUCCACCCUCUUCCAACUCAUAAAGGCAGACAUGUCACAAGUACAGCAGGAUGCAGCAUGCAGGCUCGCUGCUUGUACUUUCUGGCAGCAGUUGUUUCCGGUAAAUGAACAUGUACCAGUAAAUAAACAUGUGUCUUCAACAAGACACAUUCUUGUCAGAUAGCUGGUACUGCAAUCCAGAGAGGUUGUGGGUGCCCCAUUCCUCAAGGUGCCCAAGACCAUGGAUAGGCCCCUGGGCAGCCUGAGCUGGUGGGGGGCAACUAGCCCACAGCAGGGGGUUGGAGCAGGAUGGUCUUUAGGGUCCCCUCCAACCUCAGCCAUACCACGAUUCUUUGAUUUUAAAUCGCCAUUCCUUUACAGUGAAAUGUUUUACUUGAUGAAAAUCAUUCCCAUCCUCACUGCUUUCAACAUGUUGUCCGUGUCUUCCCUCCCACAAGCAAAGCCACAUAGCCCAGCAAAGCGAAAGUGACAAAGCCAUGACGUACCUCUGGGCUGCCACAGGAAGCACAGAGUUGCCAGCACUCUGAUUCUCCAUGCAGACAUGCUGAAGCAGAACUUUUCCACAUGUAAUUUAUUUCUUUCCUUGCUACCUUUUCAUUGUAUUGUUUUCCUGUACCAAGUUGUAUGGAUGGUGGAGGAAUAUGUGGUUAAUUACUGACACGCAUGUGUACAGCUUCACUUCCUUGUGCAGCCCAAACGUGGCACGACUCAUCAAACUGAAGAGGGAGCAGCGGUGAGACUGCUUGGGAUGAAAGCAGAAACGCUGCAAAGAUUGUGGCACAACGCCCUCCACUGUAACAGAGCUGAUCUCUGGUACGGGCUGCAUGAGAACAGAACAUGGCAUGAGCCCUCUCCUCUGAGGCACCUCAUAAAAAGUGACCUUUGGAAUUCACCUGCGUGGUUGUCAAAUAUUUAUAGAAAUCAAAUAACAUUUUACUGCAUGAGAUACCUGAUAAUAACCUAGCAGGUAUAGAAACUUGUUAGCAGCAGUAUGUAAAGUUAUGUCAGCCUCGUGCUUAUGAAGAGCCAGUGUAUGUUACCAGGCCAAGAGUACGUUUUACAAGGUACAGAAUGACCCC
Molecule: long non-coding RNA, 3934 nt
Filed under: Gallus gallus (chicken)
Lineage: Eukaryota; Metazoa; Chordata; Aves; Galliformes; Phasianidae
Source: RNAcentral